UACGUAGGGACCGAGCGUUGUCCGGAAUCAUUGGGCGUAAAGAGCGUGUAGGCGGCCACUUAAGUCCUGCGUGAAAUCUUGCGGCUCAACCGCAAGCGGUCGUGGGAAACUGGGUGGCUAGAGUGCGGGAGAGGAGAGUGGAAUUCCGGGUGUAGCGGUGGAAUGCGUAGAGAUCCGGAAGAACACCGGUGGCGAAGGCGGUCUGCUGGGCAGUUGCUGACGCUGAUGCGCGACAGCGUGGGGAGCAAACAGG
This 253-nucleotide ribosomal RNA is filed under the name uncultured bacterium. Its description in RNAcentral is "partial 16S ribosomal RNA". It matches the Rfam family "Bacterial small subunit ribosomal RNA", at positions 524 to 776 of the family's 1533-position model. The record is from RNAcentral.